AGUGAACGCUGGCGGUAGGCCUAGCACAUGCAAGUCGAACGGCAGCACAGUAAGAGCUUGCUCUUACGGGUGGCGAGUGGCGGACGGGUGAGGAAUACAUCGGAAUCUACUUUUUCGUGGGGGAUAACGUAGGGAAACUUACGCUAAUACCGCAUACGACCUACGGGUGAAAGCAGGGGAUCUUCGGACCUUGCGCGAUUGAAUGAGCCGAUGUCGGAUUAGCUAGUUGGCGGGGUAAAGGCCCACCAAGGCGACGAUCCGUAGCUGGUCUGAGAGGAUGAUCGGCCACACUGGAACUGAGACACGGGCCAGACUACUAAGGGAGGCAGCAGUGGGGAAUAUUGGACAAUGGGCGCAAGCCUGAUCCAGCCAUACCGCGUGGGUGAAGAAGGCCUUCGGGUUGUAAAGCCCUUUUGUUGGGAAAGAAAAGCAGCAGGUUAAUACCCCGCUGUUCUGACGGUACCCAAAGAAUAAGCACCGGCUAACUUCGUG
Molecule: ribosomal RNA, 492 nt
Filed under: uncultured bacterium
Lineage: Bacteria
Description: partial 16S ribosomal RNA
Rfam family: Bacterial small subunit ribosomal RNA
Source: RNAcentral